GCAAACUUGGUCAUUUAGAGGAAGUAAAAGUCGUAACAAGGUUUCCGUAGGUGAACCUGCGGAAGGAUCAUUAAAGAAGGACGCGAGUCCUACUUUUGACUGUGCGCUUCGGCUGCACGUCUCAUCCACACCUGUGCACCUUCGGUCGGCUCGUCCGGCUGUCACAUUUACUUUGUUGUCCUGAAUGUCUUUAUCAUAAUUAAUACAACUAUCAGCAACGGAUCUCUUGGCUCUCGCAUCGAUGAAGAACGCAGC
This 255-nucleotide unclassified non-coding RNA is filed under the name uncultured fungus. RNAcentral describes it as "partial contains small subunit ribosomal RNA, internal transcribed spacer 1, and 5.8S ribosomal RNA". The stretch from base 1 to 73 matches the Rfam family "Eukaryotic small subunit ribosomal RNA", at positions 1759 to 1831 of the family's 1831-position model. Lineage: Eukaryota; Fungi. The record is from RNAcentral.